Molecule: ribosomal RNA, 447 nt
Filed under: uncultured bacterium
Lineage: Bacteria
Description: bacterial SSU rRNA
Rfam family: Bacterial small subunit ribosomal RNA
Source: RNAcentral
CCAGACUCCUACGGGAGGCAGCAGUGGGGAAUAUUGGACAAUGGGGGGAACCCUGAUCCAGCGACGCCGCGUGAGUGAAGAAGUAUUUCGGUAUGUAAAGCUCUAUCAGCAGGGAAGAAAGAAAUGACGGUACCUGACUAAGAAGCCCCGGCUAACUACGUGCCAGCAGCCGCGGUAAUACGUAGGGGGCAAGCGUUAUCCGGAAUUACUGGGUGUAAAGGGUGAGUAGGCGGCAUGGUAAGUCAGAUGUGAAAGCCUUGGGCUUAACCCGAGGAUUGCAUUUGAAACUGUCAGGCUGGAGUGCAGGAGAGGUAAGUGGAAUUCCUAGUGUAGCGGUGAAAUGCGUAGAUAUUAGGAGGAACACCAGUGGCGAAGGCGGCUUACUGGACUGUAACUGACGUUGAGGCUCGAAAGCGUGGGGAGCAAACAGGAUUAGAUACCCUAGUA